AAAGUCCCGGAUGUGUUCUCGAUCCGCCCGUUUUAUCGAGCAUGCAUCGGUGUAGACUUGGGACAGCUGAAUAUCCCAGAAUGCAUUUCGUCCAAAACUCAACAGCAGACUCCCGGCACAUCGUUUCCAACCCCCCCCCCCAAACCGCUCGCGGACUUCUCACUACUCAGGUUAAAGAAACCCCAGCAGCUGUCUAUAGUAUUGAGUGUCCACUAGAAUAGAAAUAAAAGCGUUCUAACAUCUCACCUGCUUGUUUUUAUUAAGCACCUAGGCCAGGGAUGUUCAACCUGCGGCUCUAAAGCCACAUGUGGCUCUCCGGCCCCUCCACUGUGGCUCUUAUAAGACCAAAUGCUCCUGUCACUCCAUUUCCCAGGUCAUCAUAGCACUCCCACACACAUGGAGCUCUCCUGCAGUAUGCAGUGUAAUGGCCCAAACCACCAGUGGUCAUCUUCCCAUGGAAAGCAAUUAAUGCCCUCAAAGUGAAUGACUUUCCUUGGAGAACCAGGUUGGAGGGAAAUUCAUUCAGUGGAAAUUCUGUUUGGUUUGCAAGAGAUGGAUUGGAGAGUGGCCUGAGGCAGGUAGACUCAGGUAGGCCGAGUCCUGCUUCCACAGCUGUGCCAAGAUGAGCCAUACCAGACUCUCUGAGGACAGAGAUAGCAGGAGAAACAAAUGGCACUUCCCUUGUCAUCCCUUUGCUGAGGUAGCAGUGCUGUGAAGAGCAGUGCUUGGUAAAAUAAACACUUGAGAUGUUCCUCAUUGUCUUAGCAAUUACAGCGGAGAUAUUGCACUGAGCAUCGAUUUGGAUCGCACCAGACCUCAACGAGACAGCUUCAAACAUUACACUAAGCAGCUCUGCUCUCCUUCUGUAGGUUUGUUGGGUCACACCAUCUGUGGCAAUGGCUUUCACCAGCUGCAGGACUGGGUUUUCACUGUCCUUCAGAACAGCAUUUUGAAAUGUUGAGCUGUCACAGAAGGCACAACAUAAGCACUGAAAAAAAGCAUCAAAUGCACAGUUUCAUCUGCAUGGAGCCAUUCGGUACAUGAAGAGAGGUAGGAAGUCCUCUUCCUUUUUUUGGGUGGAACAGCUAGGCCCCUCCAGUUCUCAACUGCAUCCCCAUCAGCCAGAGGAAUGUUUGUGGCAGCAUCAGAUCCCACAAACGGAACAAAUCCGCAUAUUUCCCUCGAUGAAGGAAAGAUGACGAGCAAUGAAGCGAUCGACUCGAACAGGCAAGUUUUCAUGUUUGAAAAGGCCAUGUUUUAUGUUUUUGAACUCAGCUUCAACAGUGGCUGAACUUGCUGUGAUGCUGGUGCUUUGAAACAGAGGGACCAUUAUUCCUGUCCAGAGUGGCAAGUAACUUGCCAGUCUUAUUAUAUGAGGAAUAAUCUCAGGGAGAAAGUGAAUAUUAUCUCUAUCCCCGUUUGCUGCAGCAAGUGACCUGCUCUCCUCACAUAUUUCUGUUACCCACUGUCGUAAGUCAGUCUGGAUCUCAUCCACUGAAUCCACUCUCUCACUUUCCUCUGUCUGUUCAUCUGGAAUGAUGAUGGAGUCUUGAGCAAUUUGGGCUUUCAGGUAUUUCUUGCACCUUUCUGAAGGAAGAGGGGAUCCAGAACUGUCAUCACCUUCUGCCUCACUGAGGGCCACAACAGUGAUAGCACGCAGUCCCACUGGCAUAUCAUCUUGAUGCAGUGCGCAACAUCAACCCUGAUAAAACAAGGCGGGAGUUUGGCAGACUGGGUUCCAAGAAGGACAUGAAAGCAUUCAUUAAGAGUGGCCAAAUUUGAAAGGUGGCUUGGCUCAGGAUCUCCAACAUCCAUCAGAUCUGCUGCCUUCGCUGACCUCCAUACAGCCGGUUCCAUUCUGCCCUCACACAGCUAUUUAGCGACCAGUUCACGCAGGUUUCCAGACAUGAACCGCUUGGAGUGGCCAGUGUGCAGGGAGAGAUCUGUAUUUCUCAUGAAACACUGGAGCACCAUUGGAGUAUUAAUUGCUGGCUGUCUGUCACAUGACAUUUCUAACUGGCCAUGACACUCCUUACAGUCGCCUCUGAUGUCCAGAUAAUUAUUGUUCACAGUUGGAUGGACCUUUGCUCUUCGGAACACAAGUUUACAUGUAUUUUUGAUCUUCUUCCAUAUAAGAUCGUUGAUGAUAUGAGUCCAAGUGCCAGGUUUCAAAAUUGUGUAUUGUCUUUUUUGGGUAGGAGAAAACUUGUCAUUGUAUUCAACCUUUUCAGGAAUAAAUUUAACCCAGUCCUCAAAAGGGACUUCUAGUUCAAAAGCUUGACAGUUUUCUUGUCCAGGAGAAAUGCAACGUGACUCUAACUCUCCUUCACUAUUACUUUCCUGAUCACUGAUUUCCAAAGCUGACCAGAUGUUGUGUCUAUUUAGCUUCACAAAAGUGUACAGGGCCUUUGCUGACAUCUUGUCUUCUAGCUGCUGACUCAGCUCUUUCCAGACUGAUGCAGCUGGAGUGGCUAUUUUGCCAUUUUGGACUAUGGCCUCUUUUGAAUUGCAAAGAAUUGCAAAAAUGGAAACCUUGUCUACAGAUGGCUUUCGAGGCAUCUAAAUUAAAAAAAAAAAAAACACACACUAUGAUUAUGAUGGAGCAAAACAUGAUUUCUGACCUAUAUAUACAGCCAGGAGCAACCCCUCCCAAAGUUCUCCACCAAUCUACACUUUCAUAUUUUGUGGAAUUAUUGUUAAGAUUGAGCUAUUGAAUUUGUGAGUUUAUUAAAUUGAGUCUGAGUGUUUAACCCAUUAACAUGUACUGUACAGCACUUUAGUCCCGUGUACUACAUGUUUUUAAAGUGCUUUAGAAACUUUUUUUCUUGGAUUUGCAAAUUUGCAAUUGCUGUAUUUUUGAAAAUGUUUAACAUUCAAAAAAAAAAUCCCUUUGAUCCAGACAGUAAGCUAUAUCAUGUAUUAACUCAGUAACUAAAACCUCAGUAUUUUAAAUGUAAGCUUACCUUGUUCAGAAAUCAGAUGUAACACGCUGUUCUAAGAAUCCUUCAGACACAGUAAUGCCAAAUAAUAGUUUUUUCUGCCAGAAAAUGUGUAUUUGAUGCAAAAGACUGCUAGCUUGUUCGUUUCUCAAAAAGUGUUCAUGGGAGUGUAAAAUGUUCAAAUGUAGUUUUCAAUAAAGUUUUUUUA
Pelmatolapia mariae (spotted tilapia) is the source of this 3147-nucleotide long non-coding RNA. RefSeq lists it as uncharacterized. The record is from RefSeq and is a predicted model, not a curated record. NCBI's taxonomy places the organism in Eukaryota, Metazoa, Chordata, Actinopteri, Cichliformes, Cichlidae. The transcript has 8 exons.